GACGAACGCUGGCGGCGUGCUUAACACAUGCAAGUCGAACGGAAAGGCCCUGCUUUUGUGGGGUGCUCGAGUGGCGAACGGGUGAGUAACACGUGAGUAACCUGCCCUUGACUUUGGGAUAACUUCAGGCAACUGGAGCUAAUACCGGAUAGGAACUCCUGCUGCAUGGUGGGGGUAGGAAAGUUUAGGCGGUUGGGGAUGGACUCGCGGCUUAUCAGCUUGUUGGUGGGGUAGUGGCUUACCAAGGCUUUGACGGGUAGCCGGCCUGAGAGGGUGACCGGCCACAUUGGGACUGAGAUACGGCCCAGACUCCUACGGGAGGCAGGAGUGGGGAAUAUUGCACGAUGGGCGGAAGCCUGAUGCAGCAACGCCGCGUGCGGGAUGACGGCCUUCGGGUUUUAAACCGCUUUCGCCUGUGACGAAGCGUGAGUGACGGUAAUGGGUAAAGAAGCACCGGCUAACUACGUG
RNAcentral lists this ribosomal RNA (468 nucleotides) under uncultured bacterium. RNAcentral's name for it is "partial 16S ribosomal RNA". It matches the Rfam family "Bacterial small subunit ribosomal RNA", at positions 28 to 507 of the family's 1533-position model. The record is from RNAcentral.